Molecule: transfer RNA, 68 nt
Filed under: Marmota monax (woodchuck)
Lineage: Eukaryota; Metazoa; Chordata; Mammalia; Rodentia; Sciuridae
Description: tRNA.Ala
Source: RNAcentral
GGCUGUGACUCAGUUGUUAGAGCGCUUGCCUGGCAUGUGUGAGGCACUGGGUUCAAGUCUCAGCAUCA